UCCUCUUUCCUCUUCCUCUCUGCAAUUCCUCCUCCCACUCCUGUUUCUUUUAAAUUCAAUCUUUGUUGCAUAUCUCUGUUGACUAUAAUCUUAUUAGCUCUUUUCGGUGACUAUAAUCUUCUUGCUCUUUUUGCUGACUCCUUCAACCGCCGUAACUCGUCACCCUCCUCCGAUCACUCUGAACCAUCUAACCCCCCGCAUCUUAACCUUUAAUUGGGUCUACGUUUGCGCGGGUAGGAAUUACUCCAUUUUUUUGUUGGGUAUUGAGUUGUAUGCUUUUAUUGCUGGUUACCAUUGUACACAAGGCAGAUUUGGGGAACAUAAAUUGAUUAGUUUUUGUUUUUUUUUCCUCUUCAUAGUGGUUGAAUUUUGAGCGCCUCUUCGGGGGAGAAAAGAGCUCUUGGUUAAUUACCGAUAUGGCAUAUGCUAAAAGGGCAAAUUGGGCACAAAAUGAAUUGAUGAAGUAAGUAAAUGGGGACCGCUGCGGAAAUAUCAGUUUCCUUUAUUUAAACAUAGAUUGCAAAACAUUCACAACUUCCUUUCACGUUUUAUCCUUUUAUGAUUAUCUGCUUCUCCUGGCUUCUCAGUCUCCUCAGUACUCGCGCCAACCCACUUCUCUACCGGGGAUUCGCUGGAGAAAGAAAGAACACGAGAAAAAAAUAGAGUAGGUAAUUCCUUAAUUUUCUAUUGCAUGUUUGCUUUAUUUCUUUUUCAAUUCAUGACUCUCUCUAUUGUCGUCAAAUCGUGAAGAGCACGUAAAUUUCUUUAACUUUUGUUCUGUCUGUAAAAUUUAGUGUCUUUAUUUCAUGUUAUAUUCAAUCUAUAGGUGGAACACAUUGUUAGGAUGUAAUGUGCACUUCUUUCUUUUAACUUUGAUAUGCAAACCAGGUGUUUUAUGAAAUUCUAAGAGAUUAUUAUAUUUACUUGUUUUUUCAUUUUUUUAACAUGCUUUAAUAGGUCUUGCUUUGAUAGUUUUAGAUGAUUUUUGUUAGUGUGCAUCAUACAAACUCAAUUAUUUGAGGAAUUAUGAAGGGAGUAACUUGUUCAAGCCUUAGAUAUCAGUAAUGCAGUUAGGAAUAAUUCAUGUGGAAAUAUUUGUCAGGUUGUGAGGAAUAUGUGGAAUAAGCCUAAUGUAUAUUAGUAUUUUGGAUUAUUCUUUUAGAUUAUUAUUAUGAAAAAAAUGGUGUUUUACACUAAAAACAGGUUUUGUGGAAGAUGGGUCCACUUUGUGGUGUAACUGAACGAUUCAGCUUACCAAGUUUGGUAAUGCUGAUUUUUGUAUGAGAGCGACCACUUUGUAUGCUAAAGGUUGAGACCGUAUCCAGAAAUCUUCGUAUGUGGGGAGCAACAAUCAGUAUUGAAAUUUAAAGGUUACCAAAUGUUGUAUCUCAGGUGUUUUACUUUUGCAUAAAGCCCUUUCUAAUUUGUUCCCCUUAUUAUACUGUAAGACUGAAAGCCAUGGUACAUAUUUUUAGUAGCGACAAUGGCUACAAAUCUCUCUUUCAAACUCAGAUUUCUUGAACCUGCUCUACAGUGGAAAUUGCAAACCCCAAUUUUGUAUGCAAAAGUAUGAGUCUCUCUGUCUUUUGUGUAUGGUUUUUUUCCACAUGGGAACUAUUUUCUUAGCUUAAUUGAUGCAGGGGUUUCACUUGCAGUUCUUCUUGCAGGCUAGAACAGUAGCUUUACCUCUGACCACUCGAAAGUUCAAUGGAGGCAUCCAAAGGAAAAUGUCGGAAUCUAGAGCUAGUUAUGAAACUUGCCAACAAAGUCAAAUCCAGGAAUUGGUUGAUCUCCUACACGAUUGUACAGAAAAUAGGUCAGUUCGAGAUUCAGAAGCAGUUUAUGGUUAUUUGUUAAAAUGUAACCUCUUGG
RNAcentral lists this long non-coding RNA (1872 nucleotides) under Panax ginseng (ginseng). Its description in RNAcentral is "long non-coding RNA (PGIN_LNC012189)". The record is from RNAcentral. Lineage: Eukaryota; Viridiplantae; Streptophyta; Magnoliopsida; Apiales; Araliaceae.